This is a long non-coding RNA of Pieris napi, 491 nucleotides long. RefSeq lists it as uncharacterized. The record is from RefSeq and is a predicted model, not a curated record. The transcript is spliced from 2 exons. NCBI's taxonomy places the organism in Eukaryota, Metazoa, Arthropoda, Insecta, Lepidoptera, Pieridae.
CUUAACCCUGGAAAGAUAGUCUGCGUAAAAUUUACGCAUGCGUUUUCGAAUAAUUGCUCUAUCUUUCUAAUUAGCGCGAAUCCAUAGCUGUGCGUUUAGGACAUCUCAUUCGUCGUUGGGAGCUGCCGCGUGACGUAAGUGUCAAUAAGAUAUUGAGGCAAAUAUAUAUCACAAUGGGGAGUAUCAAUUUCAACGAACACGAAAUCCUGGCCGCUCUUAUGCAAAGUGAUGACGAGCUUCCGUGUGAGGACACCGACAGUGAAGUAGCGGACCACGUUUAAAGUUUUCUUUUUUUUUAAGUAAAAAUAAAAGGAGUUUAAAAAAUUAUCUGCAGUAUUAAUUAUUCUAAUAUAUGUGUAUAUAUAAUAACAUACAAUUCAUUAAAAUAAACUAUUAAACCUAGACCUACAACUAAUUCAAAUUCUUGCGUAAAUUUUACGCAUGAUUAUCUUUUCCGUAUUACAAAAUAUGAUUAUCUUUCUAGGGUUAAG